AGCGUAGACGGUGUGGCAAGUCUGAUGUGAAAGGCAUGGGCUCAACCUGUGGACUGCAUUGGAAACUGUCAUACUUGAGUGCCGGAGGGGUAAGCGGAAUUCCUAGUGUAGCGGUGAAAUGCGUAGAUAUAUGGAGGAACACCGGUGGCGAAAGCGGCUCUCUGGUCUGUAACUGACGCUGAGGCUCGAAAGGCGUGGGGAGCGAACA
Molecule: ribosomal RNA, 208 nt
Filed under: uncultured bacterium
Lineage: Bacteria
Description: partial 16S ribosomal RNA
Rfam family: Bacterial small subunit ribosomal RNA
Source: RNAcentral